UGACCUCGGAUCAGACGUGAAUACCCGCUGAACUUAAGCAUAUCA
Molecule: ribosomal RNA, 45 nt
Filed under: Calicophoron calicophorum
Lineage: Eukaryota; Metazoa; Platyhelminthes; Trematoda; Plagiorchiida; Paramphistomidae
Also listed under: 1 other name
Description: partial 28S ribosomal RNA
Source: RNAcentral